CCAGCAGCUGCGGUAAUUCCAGCUCCAAUAGCAUAUAUUAAAGUUGUUGCAGUUAAAAAGCUCGUAGUUGGAUUUCUGGGAGGGCGCCAAUGUCAGCUGAUGCUUGUGCAGCGGUGCCCUUCCAUCCUUCUGUUAACGUUUCUGAUAUUCAUUUAUUGGUCUCGGGCUCAGAUAUUUUACCUUGAGAAAAUUAGAGUGUUUCAGGCAGGCUAGCGCCGGAAUACAUUAGCAUGGAAUAAUAGAAUAGGACUUUUGCCUCUUCUGUUGGUCAUGGGGUUCGAGUAAUGAUUAAUAGGGAUAGUUGGGGGCAUUAGUACUUCACUGUCAGAGGUGAAAUUCUCGGAUUUGUGAAAGACUAACUUAUGCGAAAGCAUUUGCCAAGGAUGUUUUCAUUAAUCAAGAACGAAAGU
RNAcentral lists this ribosomal RNA (410 nucleotides) under uncultured eukaryote. RNAcentral's name for it is "SSU rRNA". It matches the Rfam family "Eukaryotic small subunit ribosomal RNA", at positions 567 to 990 of the family's 1831-position model. The record is from RNAcentral.